UGCUCCCCUCGUCUCCCACAUCGUCGCUGCCACCCACCCCGAUACCAUCCCUCCCCUCGUCUCCCUCCCAAACCUUGCUGCCGGCGGCCUCUCCCCCUCCUCUCCGCUUCCCUCCCACCUCGUCCCCAUCUCUCUCCCGCAGGACGCUGGCAGAUUAGGAGCAAAAACAAAAUCCCCCAAGCCCAACCCACUUCCUCUGCCCUCUUCCUCGAUCCCGUGUCCGCCGCCGCCCCUCAUCUGCACCGGCGCCGGGCUUCCCCGCCGGCGACCUCGCUACCCUUCUCCCGCACCGCUGCCGCCCCCACCCUCUCGCCCUUCCCCAUCUUCUGUCGCUUCCCUUGGCCGUUGCGCGACUGUCUCUUCCCCAUCUUCUCCCGCUUCCCCCCACCCAACCAACACGUUGACACGCAGACACGCUUCACCAGGCGUCGGAGCGACAUCAGCGAGCCAUGAAGGGCGGCGGAGCCAUCCGGAGCGGUGGCGGGGGCGGCGGCGGGCUGAUGCGGACGCGGCUGCGGCUCCCCGUGAUUCGUUUCGUCGUGCGCACGCGCGGGCCUCUGAUCUGGGGUGGCUCUGGCGGUUGUUCCGUGGCAUGAUCCGCAGGGGGAGGAUGACGUGGAGCGGCCGCUGCGGAGGGAGCGGCUCAUGGAGGCGGUCUGGCCGGAGAUGGCGUACGGGGAGUCCGGCGAGCCCGCGCCCUCCUUGAUCCCUUACCAGGUCACGCCUUGUCCCGAUUCCCUUCGUCGCAUUGCCAUUUUGUUCUUCGGGGAUUCAGUUUAGGCUUUGCAGUAUUAGUGACCACUGAUUAGCAUUGGGGACGAUGGAAGAUGGCGUUCGUGAAAUUUUUGGUGAGGAUGCGCGCUGCAUUCGUUGGGGACGUGCAAGUUGCCAGAGUGGUAUGUUCUGUUCUCCUCCCUCCCUCCCACAGUCCCACCCACCCCGUUGCAUGUUCUGUUCUGUUUUUUUCUUUUCUUGGCCUGAUGAUUUUUACUGAUGGAGUUGUUUGUGAGUAGUAAAUGUCAGUGAAUUACAGUGUUCGACCUAGUACAGAAAAAAAAACUUUGUAACAUAUAGUACAUAUUCGAAUUGCUAAAGUCUGUACUGUUUAGCAUGGCUGGAUGGCAGGGGUCACCACUCACCAGGAUAGAUCCACAACAUUGCAUUGUUCUUAUUACUGCAGCUAGCAGAUGAAUUCUGUGGUUGUUACAGGGAUGAUGCUCCUGUGUUGUUCAGUACUGUAUAAGAUACCUGUGUGGUAACAAAAACAAAGUUUGAACAAGCAUAUGCAAAUUUGUGUGGCUCUGAAUAAGAUAUCUAUUUCUUACAGCCUUCUCCGAUUAUGAUUUGUGGCUUAUUGUCAGAAUGAUGUUGCUGAAAGAAAGUUCAGCAAGUUCUGUGGCUAGCAGUUAUAUUUUUCAAUUUUUAUUACAGCUAAGAGCGUAGCUUGGGUCCUUUUCGGGAUAAGAAUUGGGAGGCUCCGAUGUUAUCACCAUCCCAUUUUUCGUUCUUCAAAUAUGUAGAAUUAUUCUUUGUUUGUUGGAUGCUCGAGAGUAGGGGAUAUGGUUUUCUGGGAGAGACAUCUUUACUGAAUUAUGUGCUGAAAAUGUUUUCUUAUGUGUGUUUCAGUGCGAACACGGAUCAGUUGCUGCUCUAAACCCAACAAUUCGGAGGAGGAAUGCACGAGAAGCGAGUCCCCCAGCGAUGCCAAGGUCACACUGUUGUUUUGCUGUGGUUGAUAAACCUGAGACUUCUUUCUAUUCUUCAAGGCGGUUUUGUUUAGGCCAGCCAUGGAGCAGAAAGAACGGACAUUGCUACCUAAGCAAGAGGGAAGACCCGACGAGGCCAUGAUGCUUACCUUGCUCGAGCGCAUCAACCCCGACCAUGGCACCACAUUCACAGUCUUGAGGUAGCCGUGCUGCAACUACAACAACGCUAUCUUCUCUGACUAGAUAAGUCUCCGGUCUAUUCCAUUAUUUUCUUUUGUUCUUUGGUCGAUGGGCCAUGAUGCCAUUGUGUUGAUUCCCUAUGUGAUGCAGAAGCUAUGGUGUUUUGUUUUAAGUCUGUUGUAAAUUGUAAUUGAUAAUGAUUUGUGUAAAAUUAGUGUAGAACAUAUGUCUUGUUAUCUUAAAUCGUUCGUGUCGUGCUCAAUGAACCAUCAAAGAUUAAAUCGUUUUCUGUGUUCAACAUCUAGAACCAUUCUGGGAGUUUUGGUAGACAUGCAACAACUAUGCCUUCUUGUAUUCUGAACAACCAUUUCUGGAAGUUUUGGUAUUCAUGCAACAGCUAGUCCUUGUGGUUAUUACGGUUACAUGUUACAUGUAGAGAUGGUUCAUGAUUUAGUCCCUAGCAGCUUUCUAUAUUUGUUUUUAUUUUGUUUCUAACUCUUUUGGUUAAUUGUUAGAUGCCUUUGUUCAGCCUGUACGGACAUAUCCAGAAAUGGUGUUUCCUCUCAUGUGAAGAGCUCCAGCCUGAAAGUGAAGAAGUCUGGAGUGUAUUUGUAGUAGGUUUAUAUGUUGUGAUGGUAUCAUAUGUAAUGGUGAAAUGAAUUAUGUAAAGAUUGUGCUAUUAGCCAAAAUUGGCAUGUGGUUUGAUAAUUCUCAUUUGUUUGCUGUUUUGAAUGAAA
Molecule: long non-coding RNA, 2623 nt
Organism: Triticum aestivum (bread wheat)
Lineage: Eukaryota; Viridiplantae; Streptophyta; Magnoliopsida; Poales; Poaceae
Exons: 4
Source: RefSeq, a predicted model, not a curated record